Seriola dumerili (greater amberjack) is the source of this 1080-nucleotide long non-coding RNA. RefSeq lists it as uncharacterized. NCBI's taxonomy places the organism in Eukaryota, Metazoa, Chordata, Actinopteri, Carangiformes, Carangidae. The record is from RefSeq and is a predicted model, not a curated record. The transcript is spliced from 3 exons.
AUUGGCUGUAUGUGAGCAAGAGAGAAAGUAUAAAUACAAAGGGAAAAAGGUUUUCCAGAGCAGUCCUUUGCCUUGGACAGACAUUCACACCAGCUGACACCGAAUUUACACAACAUCACCACGCUGCCUGAAGUUCCAUAGAUUUGCAGCUAUAGACUAUCAACCAUCCCAGUGAGAAAACAUACAGACAGAGCAUCACAACAAGAAGAGAAAUACAAGAUGUCUGCUCGAAGAAUUAGAUACCCUAAAAACCUGAAAAAAGAAGGCAAAAGAACCCACAAAGAAGGGAUUCUGAGAUCAACUCCAGAUGUUCUCUAUGAGGACACUAGAAGAGACGGUUCAAGAUGCAACCUUAUUUUCCUUACUAAUUCUAAAGAGGACUGGAAAGCUGCAAUAAAGUCUGAAUAUCCUGGGAUGGAGGAAAAACAAUUGAUUGAUAAAAUUAAACUUGUACUCCCAGACAAAAGUGGCACUAUAUGUGUAUACCCUAGUGGAAAGUUUGUGAUACAAGGUACAGACGAAGGCCUUGCAGCAUUUGAAGCAAACUUUGAGAACCUGACCAACGAGAAGGAAAUGAUAACCUUGCAGAGACAAGCAGAACAAAUGGCCCUUGAUCAUGAGUCUGAUUCUGAUCCUGAAACAGAAGGCGAUCCUGGUGAGGCUGGGAUUGACCAAAAGGUCCUCUCCCAAACUAAAAUGCAAAAAAAAUAGAAAAAGGGAGGAAUAACAAAGUCUGGGUUGUCUGUUUAUUAAGUUCAAACAGACUGGAAAAAAAGAAAAAUAUGGAUCAUUAGACAAUAAAUAACUUCCAAUUAAAACUUCUCUGACCAGUCUAUGUCAUGAAUAGGUGACUGGGUUGUAAAAUCAAUUACAUAUUUUUAUUUUGCAUGUUAUGUACUUUCUGGUAAUGUAAUUUCUGGUUCUUGGGUUUACAUAUUGUUUUUAAAUGGUGUCAGGAUAUAAAAAUGAAAUAUCAAAUGUAAAGGAAUUAUAAUGAUGAUGUAUCUUCUGACUGUGUCUUACAACACUGGCUCACUAUAGUCUGUCUGCAAGUUACAGAGGAAUUACACAGCAGUCUUG